CAGGUGCUGUCGCUGCCCUAGGCAUGCCGGGGAAGAGAGGAGGGCAGGUAUCUUCCGGGCGGCCUCUGGAGUCAAAUCAAGACUUGAGGUACCCUGGGCAGGCUUGUAGCCACAGCUUGGAAGCGGCAGCACCGAAGCGCACACAUUGAGAACGUCUCAACGUCCACGUCCGACCGAGGAUGGAUUUUGUCUGCUUGUCUUCCAAAAGCUAAGUGUCGGGGCCAGUGGUUGGGAGAAGGGGAAAAGCCUUUACUAUCACAGGAGGCAAUCUGAUGUCAGCUUAGCGGAGAGGUCUGUAGUGGGACAGGCUCCCUGGAAGUAAAGGGAGAGGGUUUCUCCUCAGCCUCACCAGAGCCUUUGCCGGGCAGGGCAAUUCCUACCCAUCUCCACAUUCUCGUGAACUUUGUGUCAUCAGCCUUCUUCGACUUGACGUCGUCACGGCUCUUUCCCCCGUGGAGCUCGCCUUCAGGUCCGGAGCUGUAGCU
Long non-coding RNA from Melospiza melodia melodia, 485 nucleotides. RefSeq lists it as uncharacterized. NCBI's taxonomy places the organism in Eukaryota, Metazoa, Chordata, Aves, Passeriformes, Passerellidae. The record is from RefSeq and is a predicted model, not a curated record. The transcript is spliced from 3 exons.